RNAcentral lists this ribosomal RNA (203 nucleotides) under uncultured bacterium. RNAcentral's name for it is "partial 16S ribosomal RNA". It matches the Rfam family "Bacterial small subunit ribosomal RNA", at positions 1297 to 1500 of the family's 1533-position model. The record is from RNAcentral.
AUUGCAGGCUGNAACCCGCCUGCAUGAAGUCGGAAUUGCUAGUAAUCGCGGAUCAGCAUGCCGCGGUGAAUACGUUCCCGGGCCUUGUACACACCGCCCGUCACACCAUGGGAGCCGGUAAUACCCGAAGUCAGUAGUCCAACCACGUGAGGACGCUGCCGAAGGUAGGAUUGGCGACUGGGGUGAAGUCGUAACAAGGUAGC